AAAUAUUUUUUUCGAUAUAGAAUUCUAGAGUGCACUAUAAUUAUUUUGAUGUUGAACAUGUCAAGCGAUCUUGUAAUGCUACCGGAAAAACUUUGGCAAACUUGGUUUUGAAGUUCCCAAAGUUACUAAGAUUUUCAAGCUGCGAUUUGUAAAUAGUUUAAUUAGUAAGGUAAUUAGUGACAAACAUCAAUUAAUUUAUUAGAGGCCUGAGCAGACAAAGAAAAGAGAGGUAUUUUGGAAUACCUCAAAUUUUUUUGGCAUCAGUCCGUCGGUAGACGAUGAUUGUUGUAUAUGUGUGUGUGUAUGUAAUGUUCUGGUACCAGCUCGAGACGCGGACCGGUGUCAUGGUAACUGAUUAAGCACCAUACACCACGAAGCACGCAACGAAAGCUGGUGUUGAGUCUCAAUCAAUAAUAUAUUUGAAGCUUUUAAAAGUUUCGAUUAGGACUUUCACCCGCUAAUGGUUUAAAGUAUAUAAUAAGGGUCCGCCUACUACAUGUAACGUACACUCAGCCUGUGAAAUUUCAUCUAGCCCUUUAUACUUUCUGUUAUUUAUAUUUUAUUCAUAAAUAUUAUAAAUUUUUUGAAAUGUACAAUUUCGUUUAACCCCUUAUACACUCAAUUUUACUUAUACACUCAAUUUUAUUUUAUUUAAUAGAUUAUUGUUAUUAUUAAUAACAAGAAUAAAAAGCAUUAUAAUUAAUCUAUUAACAAUAAUUAAUAAUAUUUUUUUAUUAAAUUGAUAAUAAUAAUAAUCAAUGAUAAUUAAUAUAUUUAUGAUUAUAAUAAAAUAUGAAAGGAGAGCGGAGACUUUUAUUUUGAAUAAACUAGUUCCGAUUAACAUAUUUAUGAUUAUAAUAAUAUUUUUUGAGUUGUUUGGGCAAGGGGGUCUCAUGCGUGUGUGGACUUUUAGGCUGCCAGGAGAGCGGAGGCUGGAAAAAUACCUUGCGUUUAGAUAGUGACUUGUGUGUGAGUAAUAACAAUUUUUAUUAUAAAAAUAAGUUUUAUACCAAAUAUUAAAAAAAAUCAAUCAUUAAUUAUUAUUAUUAUUAUAUUAACAAUUUAAUAAAAAAAUAUUAUUAAUUAUUGUUAAUAGAUUAAUUAAUUAUAAUGCUUUUUAUUCUUGUUAUUAAUAAUAACAAUAAUCUAUUAAAAAAAUAUUUAUGAUUAUAAUAAAAUAAUAAUUAUAAUUAUAAUUCAUUUAACAAUAAUUAUAUUUUUUAAUUAAAUAGAGGUUAUUUUGAGAAUUUAAUAUUAUAGGGGCGAAUUCAUACUCUAGGGUUUUAAUAAAAUAAAAUUGAGUGUAUAAGGGGUUAAACGAAAUUGUACAUUUUGAGAAUUUAAUAAUAUUUAUGAAUAAAAUAUAAAUAACAGAAAGUAUAAGGGACUAGAUAAAAUUUCACAGGCUGAGUGUACGUUACACUACAUGUAACGUAGGCGGACCCAUAUAAUAAUAUUACUUGGGCAAAGUUGAUUUUUCAGCUAUUUUGGAAGUUGAUGGAAAAAAAAAAGAAUUAUUAAUUGAAGGAGUCUCCAAAUUCAAAAUUAGAACUUCCUUUCUUUGUUAUUUGAACAAGUAUUUAUACAGUUAAAGCAACAAGGGAUUAAUUGAUGUAUGAAACCAUCUGAUGAAACAGUAGUGCUACACAUCCCAAAUUUUUUAUCUCAAAAAGUUAUCCCAAAUGAUGUGUCAUUAAUUGAGUGAUUGAUAAUUCUUUACAAGAUUCGAGUGAAUUAAUUAUAUUAUCUCACCAACCAAUUGAUAAAUGACAUAUCAUUUGGGAUAACUUUUUGGGAUAAAAAAUUUGGGAUGUGUAACAUUAAUCCUGAUGAAAUGCCUCAAUGAAGAGUCUCUUGGCUGCUAUUUGAAUUCGGGGCUAAAUAGUAAGGAUUCAUGAUUCGUAAAAUAGUUCCUCAUGUUUUUACAAAUAUUUAGAUCAUUCAUCUAUAAAUGAUUUUUAUGAUGAAAAAUAUAUACUAUUUUUACUACAUUUUUAAAAAGAUUAUUUAUUAAAUACUUAUUAAAUACUAACAAAUUUUAUUUUACAACUACACUUUCUAUUUUAUAAUUUUUGUAAUUUAAAACAUCUCAAACUAAAUGGAGUUUUUAUAUACACAUACCCUUUUUUAAAAAAAAUGAAAAAAAUGAUAAUAUAUAGUACAAGUAUUUUAGAAUACCAUCUCUCUGUUACAUCUCCAUAAUCUUAAUAUAAUUUUUUGAAUAAUGAUAUAGCCACAAACUCUUGUACAAACUGAUAUAGAGUUAAUUUAUUGAUUGAAUUAAAUAUCUCUUGACCCACAUGAUGUAUUUUUAUUAUUUUAUAUUUUUAUUUAAUUAAUAAAUUAAUAUCAUAUCAAUUUGUAUAAAAUAUAUUUAUAUAAAAAUUUAUGACUGGAUAAUCACUAUAAUUUUUUAAGGAAAAAAAGGUAUUUUAGAAUACCUCAUUAUAUGUCAAAAACAUCGCUUAGAACCGCAUUUCAGCUACCAAUCCUCUCGAACCCGAGAGCAAAUGAAGUGGAGCUUUUAAGCCCAAACCACCGGGUCCACAAAGAGGAUUGGUAAUCUUAUUUCUUAGCUUUUUUCUAAAAAUUUGAUUGACUUGUCUCCACUCACGAAUGACAAACCUAACAACAUACAGUAUUGAAAUCCACAUGACUUGCUCGUAUUUAUAAGUUAGCUCGUGAAUUCAGAGCUACUCAAAGUUUAUAUAUUCGGUAUGCAAGACUAAUUUCAAUUAAUGCAGAGAUUAUGUCCUUAUUCCCAUGCUGUGAUCAAAAUGUUAAUUUUCUGUACAUGGAACCUAGUCAUCAAUUCAAUAAAAUCAUGAUAAGUGUGUAUUUAUGCUAUUAAAUUUGUGUGUAUUAGUUUAGUAACUUAAAGAGUGCUUUUGACAUCUCAUAUUAUACUAUAUUUUGUUGUAUUAAAACAUUGUUCUUAUAUUAACUCAUAUUUGACUACAAUUUUUUAGUGACAUUACACUAUAUCAAAAAGAUAACUAAUACAAUGAAAGGAGUAUAAAAUGAUCUCACGAGAGAGUAGAGUUUAGGCUAUAUUGUAUCAGAAUACUUUUCAUUUUUUAAAUUUAAUUAUUUUACUUUUAUUAUUCAAUAAUUUAUUAUAAAUUUAAAUUUACUAAAUAUUGAUUUCUAGUUAUAGUGNNNNNNNNNNNNNNNNNNNNNNNNNNNNNNNNNNNNNNNNNNNNNNNNNNNNNNNNNNNNNNNNNNNNNNNNNNNNNNNNNNNNNNNNNNNNNNNNNNNNNNNNNNNNNNNNNNNNNNNNNNNNNNNNNNNNNNNNNNNNNNNNNNNNNNNNNNNNNNNNNNNNNNNNNNNNNNNNNNNNNNNNNNNNNNNNNNNNNNNNNNNNNNNNNNNNNNNNNNNNNNNNNNNNNNNNNNNNNNNNNNNNNNNNNNNNNNNNNNNNNNNNNNNNNNNNNNNNNNNNNNNNNNNNNNNNNNNNNNNNNNNNNNNNNNNNNNNNNNNNNNNNNNNNNNNNNNNNNNNNNNNNNNNNNNNNNNNNNNNNNNNNNNNNNNNNNNNNNNNNNNNNNNNNNNNNNNNNNNNNNNNNNNNNNNNNNNNNNNNNNNNNNNNNNNNNNNNNNNNNNNNNNNNNNNNNNNNNNNNNNNNNNNNNNNNNNNNNNNNNNNNNNNNNNNNNNNNNNNNNNNUUCAACAACAUUUCAUCUAUGUACAGUCAUUAAAACUGCUGUACGGCCAAGGCGGAUGUACGAUACAGCAGUAGGGAUGGCAAAACCCGGAUCCAUGUAUGGCCUUUCCGAUUCCGGGCCCGGACAACAAUUCAUUAUACCGGAUCCAGGUACAAACCCGCAUGUUUCUAAUUAGGGUCCGGGCCGAGUUAAACCCGGAAAAGUCCGGGUUCUCGGAUUGCAGGUUCUAAACCCAGAUUUUUUUCCCCAAAAUCAAUACCUUCAGCACGUUGCAUCCUGAUAAAACAAAUAAAAUUGAAAAGACAAGUCCAUUAAGUCAACAAUCAUACUGCAGUUCAAGUAACUAAGCAACCUUUUUAAAACAGUAAAGAAAACAAGUCACAAAAGCAUUCAUAAUAAACAGAAGUAGAAUUUCCCAUUCUUAAGUGACCCACAAAACCUCAAUUACCACAGUACCUCCUGCCAUUACCGAACAAAAAACUAGAGUAGAGAAGAGAGACGAUAAAGCAGAGAAGCUUCAGACAUCUAGAGAUUGCAGAGCUGGUGUGGUUAGAGGGGGUGGCUGCCUUGAUGAUAGGGGAUGAGGAAGAUGAAAGAUGCGGCUGGUUUGAGCCCGUGAGGCUUAGAUUUUUAGGGCUGCUUUUGUUUUUUCACUUACUUUUUGCUUUUAUAUUUAUAACUAACAAUUAAAAAUUAUUUAUUUAAAUAAUUAAAAACACUAAAAUUCGGGUCCUGAUUUCGAAAAUCCAGGUUAAAAAAAUGCAUCCGGAUUCGGAUAUUUCAUAUAUCCGGUACGGGUUUAAAUUCGGUCCGGAUCAUCCGGAUUCAUCCGGGUCCGGAUUUGUUUGCCAUACCUAAUCGAAAAGAGAGGGUAUUUUAAAAUACCUCAUAUUUCUUUUUAUCGGCAUGCAUGUUUGUUAUUGCAAUUGCUUGAUUUCAAGAACGUGGAACCUGCUCGAAUUCGGACUGGUGAUAUGGUAAAUGUCUAAGAAGCAGACCAGCAGGCCCGUAACGAGAGCAGACAAAGUUAUAUUCCUAUUAUAAAAUUGCUUUUUAUUUGUCCAAAAUGUCUCCGGUUACAGUCAAGGUCCCAUCAACAAUUCAAUAAUGGAUGGCAGCAUACCUAAAAAAUGUCACAGGAAUAUACCUCAUUAAAUGUUAAAAUCAUCAUAGAGAACACAGCAUUUUAGCUACCAUAGAUUAUGGUCAUCAACUUUAUUCAUUUCGUACUCUCUACAUAGAUUAUAGUCAUCAAUUUGAUGAAAUUAUGAUAAAUGUGUAUUUAUGUUAUCAGUGCGUUAAUUUAAUAAAAGUAUGAUAAAUGCGUAUUUGUGCCAUCAAACUUGUGUGUAUCGGUUUAAUAACUUAAAAAAGUCCUUAUUUGUUAAUAAUGAAUAAAAAUUUAAAAUUUAAGAUGUUAACCCCCUCAUCUUACGCUAGCUAUAAUUAAGUGAAGUAGGUAAUUAGUAACACAUACUAAUUUCAUGAGCAAGAAAAGAGAGGUAUUUUAGAAUACCUCAUUUUUUUGUAGACCAAUUUUGUAUUGCAAUUCCAUGAUUCCAAGAACGUGGUACCGGCUCGACUUCGGAUCGGUGACAUGGUAAAUAUUUAAGCCCCGUGCCACCAAGCCCCAAAACGAAAGCCGAUAGUGUGUUUUAAUUAACAAUCUAUUUGGUUGGUUUAAAUGUCACUUGGGACUUCAUCCCUUAAUUGUCCAUGCUGAUGGGUCGACUGCCGACACGUCAGCGACACUUUUGAUAAAGUUAAGCAAAUUGAAAUAUUGACAGCCCUCAACUGUUUUUGAAAUUAAUAAAUUACAUUGAAGUACCAGAAACGACCGUUAAUAUACUUCCACAUCGGCAUAAGAGUAAGACCCUAUUGGGCUCGACAUAAUACACCUAGGACUGAAUCCCCUGUUAGGAUAAGGCCAGGCCCAACAACAUAAACACAAACUCGUUCACUACGAAUUUUCCUAGAAAAUUGCAUUCCCCAAGGACCCCAACUGAACAUGUAGAAUUCAUUUAUCAACUAUUCCUACGAUAAAAUUGCUUUCUAUUUCUCCAAUUAUCUAUAUCAAUCGGCCAAUCUUCUCCAUUAGAUGAGAACUUCACUGUCUUUAUAUCAUUUAAAUAAUGCCUCCGACAUUUUCUAUCAGGACUUUUGUAACACUUCACAUUUCUAUUCCGAAGUUGUUCAAAAAGCCACUGCAUGCCAAUAAACACAAACAGAUUAAUAUGAUUCUAAAUAACCAAUAUUGACGACAGAACAAAGUUUAUAUAUAUAGUACUUUGAGCAUACUAAAUUGAUGAUAAAUUUCAAAAUACCUUGAUGAAUGGGAGACUGCCUUCUGACAUUUGCUAACUUCAUUAACUGUAAAUUUUCCAUCUUAGCCUUUUUUUUUCCCACCAAGUGGAACAUACUUAGUUGUUUUCAGAUAAAAAAUUUACCCAAUAGAAAAAAAAAAUCCAGCAAGGGGGAAAAUUAUCAAAAAAAAAAAAAAAAAAAAAAAAAAAAAAAAAAAAAAAAAAAAAAAAAAAAAAAAAAAAAAAAAAAAAAAAAAAAAAAAAAAAAAAAAAAAAAAAAAAAAAAAAAAAAAAAAAAAAAAAAAAAAAAAAAAAAAAAAAAAAAAAAAAAAAAAAAAAAAAAAAAAAAAAAAAAAAAAAAAAAAAAAAAAAAAAAAAAAAAAAAAAAAAAAAAAAAAAAAAAAAAAAAAAAAAAAAAAAAAAAAAAAAAAAAAAAAAAAAAAAAAAAAAAAAAAAAAAAAAAAAAAAAAAAAAAAAAAAAAAAAAAAAAAAAAAAAAAAAAAAAAAAAAAAAAAAAAAAAAAAAAAAAAAAAAAAAAAAAAAAAAAAAAAAAAAAAAAAAAAAAAAAAAAAAAAAAAAAAAAAAAAAAAAAAAAAAAAAAAAAAAAAAAAAAAAAAAAAAAAAAAAAAAAAAAAAAAAAAAAAAAAAAAAAAAAAAAAAAAAAAAAAAAAAAAAAAAAAAAAAAAAAAAAAAAAAAAAAAAAAAAAAAAAAAAAAAAAAAAAAAAAAAAAAAAAAAAAAAAAAAAAAAAAAAAAAAACAUGUACAACAAUUAGAAGGAGUUACCAGUAUAUCCGAUCGAUGAGAAGUUCGCUUGCAAAUAAUUUAACCACGAGGUAGAAGAAGGAGAGCGACGGCGACAACCGUACAGAGGGUUAAAUAAAUAAAUAAUUUUUGUUUCAAGAUUGAAAAUAAAUAGAUACUUGAAUGAAGGGUUUUUUUACGUGAUUAAGGGUCCGCUAUUAUACUUUUUAAAACAGAAUUUGUUAUUUAAAUAUAAUUUUUAUUAGUAUACUUUUGAUAAGUAGAUUUUUUUUAUAAAAAAGUUAUUGUCUGAUUACCAAUGAAAGAGAUUAUUAAAAACAUAAAAUUAUUUUAAUAUGUAAAUAUUUUAAAAUUAUAUUAUAAAAUAAAUGAAAUGAGAUUGUUAAAUAAAUAAAAGAUAUUUUGCAGCUUAAAAGGUUUUCAACCUCUAAUGCUAUAAAUAAAAAAUUUAAGCUUUUACUGAAUGUAGACAAGUAAUUUGUUUAAUUUUUAAAGACUUAACUCAAAAAAUAAUUAAAAAAAUGAAAAUGAGAACAAGUAAACAUUUAUGACUAUUAAAUAAGUCAUCCCAAUCACAGUAUAAGAAAUUUGAACAUAGAAGGGAUUGAGCGUUUGUAUUAGGAGAAACAAUAAUUGUAGUGACUUUUUUUUUAAAAAAAAAUAGUUAUGGAUGUCUUUAAACUUGGAAAAGGAACUUUAUUUAUCACUCUUAGAUUAAACGGUUAAAAAACUUAACUUUAGUCAAUGAGUGGUGCUAUUGGCAGCCCGUUUCUAAUACGCUAAAUGUGUAUUAAUAUCAUAAAGGGUGUGGUUAUUUAAAUCCAUCAAACUACUUAUUAAAUCCACUUUAAAGAAUAAUUUUUAAUGAUUAAAACAGCCCUAAAUCAAAAUUACUAUUGUAGACACUAGAAUAUAGUAUUUUUUUUCUCUUUGAACCCAUUUAUUUUUUUUAAUUGAAAAGAAAAAAGAACAUUUAUAUAUCUUAAUUAGCAUAUCAAUGAUAGCCACUUGUUGCCUCCAAGACUUCGACUUUUCAGUAAUCAUCUUCGAGAAUCGUUUCAUUAUCAAUAAUAUUCUUCCAAUGGUAUCUGCUAAGAACUUGUUCAAUUUUGGAAUCAAAAUUGCAAUAAGAUCCUCCAUCAAGCCUUCCUUCUAAAUUAAGAGUUACAUCAUAUAUAUUAAUAUAUGUAUGGGAAUCAAACCAAUAAUAUUGAUAAAUACCAUAUGAUGGAUCAACAACAUCCACAUCUCGAUAAUCCAUUUCGUCUGUUUUCAUAAUUGGUGAAGACUAUACUCCAGUUAUAUUUUUGGAUAUAUGUAACAUGAAACCUCCAAACUUUAAUAUCUUUGCUUGAAAAAGAUUCUUUAGAAUGAUAGCCCUACUAAUAUUACUCGUUUCUUCAUUAUUUAUUCUUAGACAUUUCAUAUCAAAAGGAGAGCAGAUUUUAUGUACCUCUUCUAUAAUAUUCUAUGUGAAGUACUGUCAUGCAACUCCUUCAAGGUGAAAAAAUUCAACAGUCUUCCAAUUAUCCUUAAGGACAUUACCGGAACUAAUCUUUUAAAAUUAGUCGCCCUUUAUAAGAUGUAAAUGAGGUGUUUGUCUGAAUUUUGAAGAGAUGAAGGAUACUCUUUGACAGUUGCUUCAUUUUUUUGCCCAAAAUACUCAUGUAGUAGUCUUCUUACUUACCAUGCAUCACCAACAUGAGUCUUUGUUUGGUGGUUGCUGAGCCACUUGGUAUGUUUUUUGGAUAUUGAAUAGCUACGUAAGAAAUUCAAUAAAAUAUUAAUUGAGGGUUUAUAAAUGAAUUUAUGGUAUGUUUAGUAAUUAAUAAUCAGAAUGAACUUGAAUCGAAAUGGAGUGAAAUCGAAACGGAUAAUUACAAUCUACUAUACUGACCUUAGUUUAUCAUUGUCAUAAUAAUAAUAAAAUUUUAUUAUUAAUAUUAAUUAUAAUGAUUAAUAAUUAUAAUAGUAUGACUAUCUGCUGAGGGAUAAUAUGGUCACUUUAGGGAAUGAGAUUCUCAUUCCUACCUCCCAUGUGAAUGGAAACUCUAGUAAUCAUUCUCAAUUUUAGGUGGGGCUCACCACUUUGAUUCUCAUUCCACCUUUUAUUUAAGCAAGAAAUACAUCAUUCAUUCUCAUUCCUUGAUUCUCAUUUCCAUUCCCAAUAAGUAAACAAACCAUUAAUGGGUUUAAUGAGUAGAAGAACUAUUAUUCUACAAAUUGGCUUCAGAAAGGGUAUAUUGGGUAUUUAAUGGGUUUAUUGAGUAAAAUCUAAAAUUUCAAACUAUAAGGACGGAUUUAUUUAGUAAAUGAGUUUAAUAAGUAGUUUAGUAAGUUAAAAAACGAGUAUAAAGAUUCUUAUGAUUAUAUGAUUGACGUAUGUACUACUCAUCUAUUUAGUAUGUUUUUUCUGGAAUCAAAUAGCAUAAUGGCAAACUUAGUACCAACCUAUUUAUGAUUUUUUAAUCAUGAUGGCAUGACUUCUCAUCAAUUUGGGCAAUUCAACCAAUAAUUCCUCAUCCAUUAGUCGUUGUUCAUCUUGGUGCUUUUGCCUUGUUUGCUGCAACAUUUUUUUACUUAACUUUUUCGGCCAGUGACAAGUCCACGUCAUAUCUCUCUUUCAUUGCUUGUAAAUUCAGCACUUUCUCUACAGUAAUCCAUCCACCAAACUCAAAUGUUAUGAAGUUGGAAAAUUCAUGUGCCUUGCAAUCAUGUAAUAGAAUCAUUUGAAAAUACUUAAACCUGUCACGUUCGAUGUCCAUACCUGGAUUAUAUGUUUAUGAUAAUAGAUUUUCUUUUCUUCCUGUGCUUCCUGAAUUUCUUUUAAUAAGUUCUUAUAGCAUUCAACUUUUUCUUGAAAAAAAAUGAAAUUACUAUGUCUUUUCAUUUAGUUUUGAAGACACGAAAGAAAUAGGAACACUCAAAAUGAAAUUUUGUAUCUCAAAAUUAGAAAUUCGUUAUAGUUGAUCAUUUCCCCUCUUUCAUCUUUAAUAAUGGCUCUUGUAGAAAAUUGAUACAGUGAGAUCCAUUUUAAUUCUCAUAUCUUGCGAUUUUGAGAAAAAAGUUUGAAUACAACUCAGAGAUGUAAAAUAUAUCUCUUGCACACUGUAAUUUCCAUUUUUACUUUGGACAAUGUUACUAUAUGCAAUUGUAAAAUAUAUCUCUUCCAUGUCUUACAAGUUGCAACUUUGAAUAUAGACCAACAAACAAAGGUUUCAUAAUAUUGCUUAAAAGAAAACUGUUAAGUUUCAUGUUAACUUUGGAGAAUAAACUGUAUGCAAUUUCAAAUUCAUAACUUCUUAUGUAGCAUGUUGAUUCUCAAUUUAGAAAUGACGUCUUCCAUUUACAUGAGCUGCUUUCCAAUAAUCUUUGUAGGGGUAGUUCAAAGAUAUUUAAGGCCUUAGGCAAAGUAGUCGUUUGAAAAUUUAAAAUUAAUAAUUUACUAAUCAUAUGCUACAUCAAUAAAAAAAUUAUUUAAAUUUACAAAAGAAUAAGAAUGAUACUACUAAAAAAAUAAAAUAUUUAAAAUGAUGGCAUGAUGAUUGCUUAUUGUUAUAUUAUUUAUUUAUCUAAAAUUUUUAUAAUUCUAAUAAAAUUUUUUAUGAUUCUAACUUAAAUGUUUUAAUAAGUAUACAUGUUAGUGGUCGUUAAGUAUGUUCACUUUUAGUAUAUGUAAAUUUUAAUUAUAGGAUUUCUAGAGCCUUUUAUGAAUAAAAUCUUUGAAAUGUUAUAUUAUUUUUUUAGAUAGUUAAUUUUUUUAUAAAAUAGUAACUUACUAAAAUGUGAAACUCUAAGCAAUCACCUAAUUUGCCUAGUGGUAGAGUCGACUCUACAUAUCAAAAUGUGACUUCAUUUGAAAAUAAACCUUCGUAUUGGAUAAUCAUAUAUACAUUAUAUCAAAUACAACUAGGUAUCAUUUUACGCAAAUUCCAAGUACGUAGCAAACUGGCAAUCUUUUUAUGUAUCUUAAGUUAUCAUGGAUUAUCAAAGGAUUCAAUUCAAUCUUGCAUGCUCCAACCAAAAAUCCUAUCUCUAAACAUGUCUUGUGAACAUAAGGGAGAGAAAAAUAACUGAAAAGUUGUUGAAAUUGAUAAUUCUUGUUGAAGAAGUCAACACCAAAAUUAUUGAAAUUCAUCUUUUUAUUGUGCCAUGAAACUAUAAAGUCAGCACUGCCCACUUUCAAAGAACAAGACCCUGUAGAACUCAUCAUUCCAUUCUUCUUUACCAUUUCCUUGCUUGAAAAAAAAAGUAUAAAUAACUUCUCUGUUGCUUCUUAUGUCAACAAAACACAUCGAUGCUUCUCUAUCAUUUCAUCAUCAUCAAAAUGCUGAUGAAAGAGGCUGAGCCUCUAGAUAACGCACUAAAGAACUUUAAAAAAUUAGAAUACUCAUGCUACAGUGCCCAUGUUUGCCCAUAGAGUUUUUGGCUCUCACAAAUUUAAAUGAGCUGAAGUGGUCAAGCAAUUAUUUAUUGCCCCACGCAAUCCAUUAAAUCGAUUUAAAUAAAAAGAAAAUAGUUAUAUUAAAAUAUGCAAAAGUUUUGUUUCUUAAAUGAGAGUAAAUAAAGCAACAACUUAAAUUAAUUUCCACUCUCCGUUCACCUUACUACAAAACCAACAAAAUAAGAUUUUCAUUAGAUCUUUAGUCCAACUUUGUGCUUAUAUGUGAAUAAUUAUGUGUUGCGGCUAUCUUAUAAGGUUAAGUCCAAUUAAAUUUGAUCCAUUAAAAUUUUUAGUAAUUUAGACUUUAAUGUAUUUAAUAUGAUGUAGAUCUUUAAUGAGUAGAGAUUUAAGGGUAAUUUCUAAUUUCAUGAUGGGCUGAAAUAAGAACACCUAAUUAUAACAUAAAAGUUAUCUAUAUAAAUAGUUAUGGUCCUUAGGUCACACGUAACAUUCUAUUUUUUUCGACAUCUCAUCAUCACGAAGAGUGCAAUGAGAAACCUAAAGGAUCCUCUAGGAAAACAUGUUGAUUUGAAAGGCUAACCAUAUAGAAUUAAAGGGUAAUUUGUCAUUAUGGAUUCAUCUAUGCUUCCGCAUAUUCGAUUUUUCAUUCUUGGUAAUAUAACAUGAAUAUUCCUAGAAUUUAGGUGAUGAUUUUUCCCAAAAGAUAAUUUUCUAAUAAGUUUACCUUAUCAUUCUCAUCCUCUUGCCAUGGGUUCUUGAUGACAACUAUUGGAGGCCAUACAAUUUGAUAUCUUCUUUUGUAUCUUCUGAACCUUUCUACUUAUUAACACUAUUAGAUACUAGAAUGUUUUUUAGAACUCUUCAUCCAACAUCUCAACUAGUAAAUUGUGAAAUUUUUGUACUAUUUUUGUUUUGGUAUGGAUCACCAAUGCUUGCAGGCCAUUGUCCUUGUCACUAGCACCAUGAUCACCUUAGCAUACAAAAAAAGGCCAUUGCCUUGCUGGUUGAAUGAUUUGCGAAACUGUUAGGCCUUCACAACUACUAUAGAACUCUUUGCUUUAUUGAUUUUUCUUACUACUGCCAUAACUCUUCCAACUUGUAUUGUUCUCAUCACCAUCAACAUUGUCAGUAGCUUUCAGUGAAGUUGAACUAACUCUGGGCUACCAAAUCCAACCAUGAUCUAGAGAAUUGUGAAUCCUUGUUCUUAUUGCAAAGUUUUUCAUCUUAGGAGCCAUGUUGGUCAUUCGGUUCUAUGUAUUCACUUUACAGUUUAUAUAUUAGGAUCUAAGUUUCUAGUUUUCUAUGUUUUGGCAAGAGACCUUCUGAGGCCACCGUCCGAGCUAGUAUUUAGUACAUUUCCACUCGAAUGCUCAGUUCACAGAAGGUUGUAGCUGGAAGUAAAAAUAGGCGACUUGCCACCUCUUCUAGAACUAUGGAUGGUAAUGGUACCUACUGUUGUGCAAAUUUUAAUGUACUCGCAAGCGCACGAAUCUAUUGUAGUAUAGACUAAUGGUGACGAGUGUCGAUCCCACGAGGAGGUGGAUUUUAAUUGAGUAUAGAAUUAAUUUUGUAAAUCGGGGAUUGGAUUUGUGGUGGAAAUGAUUUGGAAUAUGCUAAAACUUAAAUUAAAAUGGCGAGAAUAAAUUCUAAAAUUGGAAUUGAAAUGACGAGAAUAAAUUGAAGAGAAUUCUAUUGAAAUGAAGUACUUGGGUAUCUGGAUCCGUAUCAACAUGCAUCAUGGGCUAAAUAAUCCUUAUUAAUGCCAAUUAAAUCAUGAGGGGGGAAUCCACACCUCAUGAACCACGCUCUAAUCAAUAUGGUGCUAAGGGCUUAUCGUGCCAAAUAAUAAUAACCUUAUACUAGAGAGCCGGUAUAACCAAAGCGGUAUCUAGACAAGACUAUUAUUAUUUGUCGACGAGAAGUCAAAACAUCCACAAAAACUAGAGGGGAAGAGAAAAUAAAUUUACCAAAUAAAGCCCAUGACACAUGUUGAGACUUCACCUCUGCUGUACCGUACAUCCGCCUUGGCCGUACAGCAGUAUGAAAAAAGAAGAAAAAUAAACAUAAACACAUAAUAAAGAAAAAGAAAAUGUCUGAAUUUUUUUUUUAUUUUUAAAAUUUUUUUUUUCAAAUAAUGAAGAUGCGUUUCUAGAGUCACUAUACUCCAUAUUCAGCCAUCUUCAACACAAAAAAGUUAGCAACAGUUAGUUUCUACAAUAAAAAAUUACUUUCUUGCAUACCUGAGACAACUAACUCUUCUCCAGUCGGUGAGUCAGUCAAACUGCCCAAAGGUUUUAGGGCUCUUGGGAUGAUGCCUAACACUCGGCUUCCUCUGAUAAAAGUAGCUUCUGAGACCAACUUUGAUAACCCUCGGUUACCUCCUCCAUACGCCAAGUGUAAUUUUCUCUUUGCUAUGUGUUGUGUGUUGUGAAAAUUUUAAUAUACUCGCAAGCGCACGAAUCUAGAAAUAGAAUAGUGGUAACGAGGUCGAUCCCACAGGGAUUGUUAUAAAUUAAAAAGUCUAAUUUAAAUCUAAAAUUACUAUUAAUUCUAACCUAGUUGAGCAAAUUGAGUUUUUAAGAAAAUUAAACCAAUUAAACUAAGGAAGCAAUUAAAAUAAANNNNNNNNNNNNNNCGGCGGCGGCGGCGGGGGAGGCGGGGCGGAGGGUGGAGAACAGCCUGGUUCCAUGGCCGGCCGCCCGAGAGGGUUUUACAAACGAGAAUUUGUGAUGAACAACAACAACAAUACCUCUGCACGGGACAGAAGCUCUAUGGUUGGUGUCAGUCUGUUUAUAUAGUACUCUCAAAUUCUUGUUUCUUUUCGGUUUUUUCUUUUGCUAUUUGGUUGUCACUGUUGCAAAUUUCGGAGUCUUGUAUUGUGUGUUUACUUUAUUGCCCUUUUCCUUGUUGUAUAUGCUUUAUUUAUCCUUUUUUUUAACUUUUUUUUUGGGAUUUUUUUUUAUGGAUCCAUAAUAAUAAUAAUAAUCAUAUUAAAAAUGUUGUAAAAAAUUUUGUAACAGAGAAAAAGAAUACUAAUAAUUCACCUGAUGCCGGGUGGUAAUUUAUCCCAAUAAAACAUACUAUUAACGGUGCAAAUAAGAGUUUUAUUAUGCAUAAAAAUAAUAAUGCUGGAAUCCAAAUGAAAAUUUGGAAUGAUCGAACGUUUGACUGAAUCUAUGAUAUGAAAAUACUCCACCAUUCAUUUGAUAUAUUCACGGAAAGGAAAUCCAAACAAAAUUUUCCUAUUAUUUUGAACCGUCAUUGUAAUUUAACGCAUAUCAUGGCUGGAAGCAGGCCCCCAAAAAAAUAAAAAAUAAAAACAAACAAAAUAGGCUAGCAUUAUUGGUAAAUUUCACACCGUUCAUAUAGAUACGGCACGGGAGCCAGAGGCCGAGGCCAGGGCCAGAUGCGAUGCAAAAAGAUAUUUUGUCAACGUCAUUGGAAAGUAAGCACGCACUAACUAGGGAUAAUAAUUAGCAAUUAUCUUAUCUUAAUUAAUUAAUUGCUAUAAUUGCUUUUAUUGAAUUAUUUUUUUUCUUCUUUUUAAUUCUCAACUUGCGAUGACAGGAAAUGAAAUGAACCGUGAAAGGAAAGAACGCUGUGCUUCCUUGUGAAAAGCUCUUCCACUAACAAUUAUUAUUUAUUUAUUUAUUUUCAAAUGCCAAAAUAGUUUAUAACGCAAAGUGCCGACAGUCCAUCCGAACACGAACAUUAAACAAAAAUAUCACUAAAACAUUUUUUCGAAAGUGAAAUGUAUAUUUGGACCAAUGAAAGUUAGCCAAGUUGCGACUUUAUUUUGAUAUUUUUGCUUUUACUAGUAUUCAAUCCUAACCUUAAAGAGACUUCGUCCAAUUCAGCGACUAUCGUCAACAAACACCAAUUAACUGGCCAUCACUAGCCUAGCUAGCUCACUUGUCCAUUCUUGAUUUUUUUCCGAAGUCAUUGCACGUUUAUUUUUUUAUUUGCAAAUUGAUCAAUAGUGAAACGUUAGCGUCUUCUACCCAUCUACCCACUUUAAGCUUUCCUAGAACAAUCCCCCCCUACUGGGUACCAUUUGCAAAAUAUUUUUAAAAAAAAAUCUUCAAAAUUAAUAUUUUAAGCAUUUUUAAUUCCAUUUAAUGAUCUAAACAAAAUUUUGUUUUGAUAAGAAACCCAAAAAUGUAUCAAAUAUGGAGAACCAUUACAGUGAUAAUUUUAUUUUAUUUUUUUUAAAAAAAAGAAAAUUCUCAUGGUUUUCUGCUGUACGGCCAAGGCGGAUGUACGGUACAGCAGUUCACCACCAGAUAAGGAAUGAGGAGAUGUUUAAUUGGUACAUUUCAUUACUCAACAUUUUUUUAAUAUUUAAGUUUUAUUUUAAAUAUCAACUGAAAUAGUAUUUAUUCAUUAAAUGAUAAUUUUAUAAUUUUAUAAAAUAUAAAAUAUAUUAUUUAGUAAAUAAGCGGUACAUAAUAUUUAAAUUCAAGAUAAGAUUCAAGCACAAAACUACAAACCAUUAAAGCUCGAAAUGAGCGGUGGGUAAACUGCUUCUUGGCUUCAAAAAGAACUUUUAAGGAAUUUGGUUGUGACAUUAGCGUCACUCUGCACUUAGAACUUAUCAGAAAUCCAAAUUCCAUAAUCUAUAUAUUUUAUAGUAAUAAAAAAGGAAAAAUUACGUUUCGAAAAUGGGAAUCUUUCAAUGGAACGAGCAUUACUAAGCAACGUCAUCGCCACUUCGGAUUGGUGCGCGAAUCAACUUCUCCCUCGAAUCUCUCCCUCUUUUUUAUCUCGUCAUCGUCACACUCGCUUCACUGUCGCCAAACCCGCUUAUUUCUCUUAGUAAGUCCGCUCUUUGCCUCUCGAAGCAACUCGUUUUGUAAUUCUAGCGUUAUUAUGUACAUAUGCUAGUUUCUGCUUACACUUUCCUUGGAUGGGUAUUUUUUUAUGUCUCUGUAUUUCAAUUUAGUUUGUUUCUUCUUUAGUUCCUUUCAAGAAUCAUAUUUUUACAUGUUGUUACAUUAAUAUGAAUGCUGAUGGUGUUUUUUUGAGCUAAUACGAUGAAUCUUUCUUGUAUUUUGUCAAUUCAUAGUGUUUUUGGUUUCAUUGUAGAAAUGUUAUUUCUCCAUUAUUGAGUUGUUAUGAUUGUCUUUAUCUAUUCAAUUUUUGUAGUAAAAGAUUGUCCGUCUUUCUAGCCAUGGAUGCUUCUAAGGCUGCCCCAGCAAAGCAAGUGUCCUCAGUUUUAGAUGCAACUGCUGAAGAGGAGUAUGCUUCGCUGUCAAAGUUGCUUCAAGAUUUCACCAAUAUCUCUAGUAUUGACAAGGCAUGGACUUUUAAUUCUGGCAAUGGUACGACUGACUAUGAUUGCAAUUUUUUUUUUCAGUUUCAUUUUUUCGGUAAGUAUCUGUUGCUCAACAAUUUUUGGCUUCAAAUUUUUGAUGCAGGAAAUGGGACACAGGCUAUGUUUUCUAUUAGCCAACCGAACCUUUUGGCAAACAAGAGGAAGAAAUUUAUGUUAUCAACAGUUAUCUCAAAAGAAAAUGAAAAUUCUGUGACCUUUCAAUGGGCUCCAUUUCCUGUUGAGAUGACUGGUGCAUCUGCAGUUGUUCCAUCUCCAUCUGGUUCAAAGCUUCUUGUUGUUCGGAAUCCUGAAAAUGAAUCCCCCAUUCAAUUUGAACUCUGGAGUCAAUCUCAGUUGGAAAAGGAAUUCCAUGUCCCUCAAACUGUUCAUGGCUCAGUAUAUGCCGAUGGAUGGUAAUGAUUACUGAUUCAAAUAAUUUAAGUCAAGCUAAUGUACUUCCAAUUUUGCGGUGUCUACCUUUAGAAGUUGUUCAGUUGUAAGUAGUUUUGCUGUAAUUGAACCAGGGAGUGCCAGUGGGUCUUGUACUGUGGUUGCACAAGUGGGUGUUUUUAUUUUAUUUUUCAUCCCAGAAAAGUUACAAGCUUUCUGAUCAUUACAGGUUUGAAGGAAUCUCUUGGAACUCUGAUGAAACUCUCAUUGCUUAUGUUGCUGAGGAACCGUCUCCCUCAAAACCCACUUUCAGUCUGGGCAGCACAAAAGGUGGUUCCUCGGAUAAGGAUUGUAAUAGCUGGAAAGGUCAAGGUGAUUGGGAGGAGGAUUGGGGAGAAACCUAUGCAGGAAAGAGGCAGCCUUCUCUCUUUGUAAUCAACAUUAACAGGUCUCCUAUCUCUAUUUUUGUUUACUCCAGUGCUUUAAGUUAUUUAGAAUGUUGAAAUCUGAAUUUCAACUUCCUUCUGUUGCUCAGUGGAGAGGUACAGGCUGUUAAAGGAAUUCCAAAAUCUUUGAGUGUUGGUCAAGUUGUGUGGGCUCCUGCUGUACCGUACAUCCGCCUUGGCCGUACAGCAGACGAAUCUAUUGUAGUAUAGACUAAUGGUGACGAGUGUCGAUCCCACGAGGAGGUGGAUUUUUAAUUAUAUAUAGAAUUAAUUUUGUAAAUGGGUGGUUGGAAUUGUGGUGGAAGUGAUUUAAAAUAUGCUAAAAUUUGGAAUUGCAAUGGCGAGAAUAAAUUGUAGAGAAAAUUGAUUAAAUUGACGUACUUGGGUAUCUGGAUCCGUAUCAACAUGCAUCAUGGGCUAAAUAUUCCUUAUUAAUACCAAUUAAAUCAUGAGGGGGGAAUCACACCUCAUGAACCACGCUCUAAUCAAUAUGGUGCUAAGGGCUUAUCGUGCCAAAUAAUAAUAACCUUAUACUAGAGAGCUGGUGUAACCAAGGCGGUAUCUAGACAAGAUCAGUAUUAUUUGUUGACGAAAAGUCAAAUCAUCCACAAAAACUAGAGGAGAAAAGAAAAUAAAUUUACCAAAUAAAGCCCAUGACACAUGUUGAGACUUCACCUUCAACCCAAGCUUGAAAGGAAAUUAGCUACUCAUAAUUGAACUAGGGGCAAAAUGGGAAUUUAUUAAAAUACAAAGAAAGAGUAAGGCGGAUGUACGGUACAGCAGAAAUUAGGGGGGAGAGGCCCCCUUUUUAUAGAUAUAUGGAGUAAAUCAUGGCCAUCGGAUUAAAAAUAGUUUGGACGCUCAGGAUUGCGCCACGUCAUCAGUCAACAGUCCACGGUUUGACCACGCGGAUGAACAGUAACACGGUUUGACCCGGGUGAAUAGUGACAUUGUUUGGUUGAAAAUAAUCUUGUGUGAUGCAUGUACCGUACGCGAGAUUUUUCGUCCACUGAUAUGCUGCCACGUCACCAUCAAUAGUACAUAAGAAUUUUAGCCCAACAGGAUCGUGACACCUCAUCAGUCAAUGCCACAUCAUCGGUCAAUGCCACGUCAUCGAUCCGUCUAUGUGAACAGUGUCAUGAACAGUAACGUAGACAGUACCGUACAUGUGAAUAGUGCCAUUUUUCAUUUUAUACUCCUCCUAAGGUUUUCGACCGUCCUGAGUUCAAAAGUGAUGUCCGUUUUGCCGUCUGAUCUCUCGUUUAUUGUGAAAUGACUAUGAUGCUCCUAAAAUACAUAAAAUGCUUAAUUAAAAUAAAACACACGGAAUUAAAUCAAAAGAAUGUUAAAUACAUAAAAGUAAGGGUGUUAGUAAAAGUUGUAGUGUAAAAUGAUGAUUUUCUCCUUUAUAAAUAUACAUUUUCUAAAUUUUCUAACACUCAACACCUACAAACACACAAACCCAACCAAAUCCGCCCGUCAAAGCCUACUUGCUGCGGGUAAUUUGUGGGUUGCGGGUGGGUAUGGUAUCUUAAACUAAAACCCAUACGAAGUUGCUGGUGUAUUUGGUAUAUGCCAAAUAUUUAGCGCAUAUCUGCAUGGGUAUUCUCACCUACACUUUAAAAAAAAUAUUUUUUUAAAUUUUAAUUAAAAAUAUAUAAGCGUAAAAAUAUAUAAGUGAAUAAAUGUAAACGUGCACGCAGCGUGCCUAAGCCCUAAUGUCCUAACUUAAACUAAAGAAACCAAUCUCUAUUCUCUCAUCUCAUCUAUGUCUUUAACUUAAUACAUGCAUUAUUAUAAUUGUGUUCUUUGGAUUAGUGUUUAGAAAGCAUUAGUCUUUAGAAAAUAUUAAUCUUAGAGCUCACAUCUAAUUAAAUAUUAAUCUUAGAACUCAAUCUAAUUAUAGAGCGACCUAAACUUUAAAAAUAUUACAAAAGACCCCUAAGAUUAAUCAACCCUGAAUCAGCCGGCAAUAAAAUUUAGAAAAAAAAAAUUUUGGAAGAGUUAAUUUCAAUGAUUCACACACGGAUCAUAAAUUCAAUUCAUCAAUUAAUUUCAAAUAUUAAUGGACUUCUGGAAAUUACAGUAAUGAGUAUUUCAACUUUGAUCAAACAAAUGUAACCCUAAUAAUCGUACGCCCAAAAUUCUCUUUUAAUGAGAUAAAAAUUUGGUAAAAAAAGUAUAAAAAGUACCGCUGAUUCAUGAUGCUGAAAAAAAUUGAGUGAAGAAGAAGAAGCAAGGUGCAGCAACAACAGAUGGGGGAGAAGAAUAAGCAACGUCGUUUCUGGGCUAUGUUUGUGUACUCAUAGGUGUAUCGUAAUUUUUGGAAUUAGAUCUCAAAACUAAGAGCAAGAUCACGAUAACCAGAAAUUAAUAGCACAUUACAUUUUUCGUUGUACUUUCUUUACACUCAUUCUAAAUACUAAUUGGACCCACUCAACUAAUGUUAAAGAUAAAUAUUACUUAUCACUCCAUUAAAAUCUAGGGUAAUUUUUAGGGACCUCCCCUGAGGUUUGGCAUAUUGACACUUAGAUAGAAAGUAUGACCGUAAUUUCAAAGACCUCCCCUACCGUUAGUAUUCCAUUUGGUAUCUUGUCAAUAUAUGAGGGUAAUUUCGUAAAAAGAUAUUUUAAAUUGAAAAAAUCAAAAGCAACCACGUGACAGAGAUGUGACCACUGCAGCACUUCAUCAUCCAUUGGUUGUAAGAAUGGCUUGGACAUAUCUUCUCUUUCAUCUACCAAACCCUAGCCAAUUAACAAUCUCAAAUCAGAUUCUUCUCUUUUUGCCUUUGACCUCGCCAAAUGAAGCUCAAAUCUGAAGAAGCCCCAGUUCCAAAGAAGAGUUAUGAACGUAAAGUGACAACAGCGGGAAAAUGGUGUCGUUGAGUGACCAUUGCCGGCGAUCAAUGAGGGACAUGGCAGUGAUUAAACCUUGUAGUAGGUGAAAAAUCCAAAUAACCCAAUGCAUGUCAAAUUUAGAGCCUUUUGGUUGAUUCGAUGUUGUGUUUGAAAAUGGAUUUAAUGUUUUGUUUGAUUUGUUGAAGAAGCUGCUGCAUGUAUCAACUUUGAUUCGUACUAGCUAAACAAACCAUUGCAUAUUAGAAUUUAGUUGUGUUCUAUGAUUUAUAUGUUAAACAAAAAUGGAUUUUAGCUUUGUAAUUGCAAAUACAAUUCCAAAUGUUUAUAAUAAAAUUAAAAUGAAAAAAAUUGAGAUUUGUUUAAGUGAAAUUAAUUUUUGGGAUCUUAUUUAUGAUUACAAUUUAAGAUUUAGGUAGGUUUGAUUGCAAAAAAAAUGUUAAAAAUCGAGAGUUGUGUGAUAGAAAUACCAUUUUUAUUUUUAAACUGUUUGCAGCAAAUAUGAUUUUGUUAAUUAAAGUUUAGAAAUUGUUAAAUUUUUUCAGCAAUAUUGUUUUUUAGGUAAUGAAUAUGCAGUGAGUUAUUUUUGUCAUUUCAUGAGUGUGCUGGGAGCAAUACAUAUUUCAUACUAUUAACGAACAGCAACCUACUGGUUGCCAGUGCCACAAGCGUGUCUUUUUGGCCUCAGGGUAGUUUGGUCAUUUUGUUGAUCCACUAACAGUUAUUGGAUGGAAAUACAAACGGCAUAGGAGGUCUUUGAAAUUACGAUCAUACUUUAUAUCUAACUGUCAAUACGCCAAACCUCAGGGGAGGUCCCUAAAAAUUACCCUUAAAAUCUAUGCCCGCGACACUUUAGUCUUGACUUUUGCUACUAAUGUGUUUACUUCGUGGUAAUUGGAAUAGGUUUGAAUUGAAAUAAGAAAUGUAAAUCAAAAUAAGUUGUUUACUUGAGUUGUAUGAAUAAAAAUCGGAAUGAAAUGUACUUCCAUUGAUGUGUUUAUCAGAAUUGGAAUAGAUUGUUAUAAGUUUAUAAAAUUCCCUUAGUAGUAGUUGUUGUUGUUCUACUACUAUCUUGUAUACUUAUGGAAAUGAGUUUUUCAUUUCUUAUUUUUAAAUUUAGUGGUUAUCACCAUUUUAAUUCUAAUUCAAUGAUUCAAUUUUUUACAAAUAAACACACAAGGUGAAUAAUUCCUCAUUCUCAUUCGCUAAUUUAAGAAGUAAACAUACCCUGAAUGCACAAAGUGAAUUACUAGAGGAUCAACGCAAAAGAAAUUAUAACUAAACUCAUAAAUAUUAGAGACAUAAAUAUUAUUGGAAUACUUUUUCUUUUCUUUGAUUUUUGGUGUUUUAAUCUGUAUGUAAUGAAUGUAGAUAUUGUUUCUUCUCUGUAUCUUUGAUAUGUAGCUUUCAAUCGAUUCCUCUCUGCUUUUACUGAUAUGCAUUGUUGUGUACGGCAUUUUAAGGCUCAUAUAAGGCUCAAUUCCAGAUCAACCCCGGGGUAUGGGCUGUGAAACAUUGAUUUUUUGUUUUCACUGUGUUUUAUAUUUUUUUUGUAAAAAUUUUAAGUUAAUAGGGGUGGGAUUAUGAAACCAAAGCCUAUGUUCGAAUCUUAGAACUCCGGUCUCUCACAAUGUUACUGCAAUUUGCAUUCACCAUGAGCUUCUAAUCAUAACAGCUUCUGAUGAUUGAACUAUACACAGUAUUACUUUAAGGUAAAAACUUGUAUAACUCGUAAAAUUAGUUUUGAUGAUAGAGGACUCUGUUUCCUUUGUUUCUUCCGAAACCUUCAUACUUGCUGAAGCACUUCAAACUAUGCACCAUGACAUGCCAUCAUUGUUGUUAAAAUAGUUCCAAAAGAAAUGAUAUAAUGUAUCCCUAAAUACACCAAAUUAUUAUUCAUAUUCUUAUUAAUUAGAACUCAGACAACUAGAGGCAUAAAGCACACUCAUGACUAGCCAAACUACAACAUGACGGUCAUAAUUUAUAUAAAUGUAUGAUAUGUAUAACUUUAGAAUUGAGCCCGUAACCUUUUUCUCCAACAACAAGAGAGGCCAACCAAAUGAGUAGCAUAUAUCAAAAUUCUGUUAAAUUUAAAUUAAAUUAAACUGCGUUGAGUUAUAAUUUAAAAUCGAAUAUUAACAAGUUAUAUUUUAAAAACUAAUUUAUGAACUUUAUAUCAUUAUCUCAAAGAGAGAGUCCCCUAAUUUGACUUGUAACAAUAGAAGCAAGAGAUGGCCAAAAGGGUAAUGAAAAAUUUAUAUUUAAUCUAAUUAAUAAAUUUUCAACGAAAUCAAGGAUAAUUUUUACUUUUCUAAAUAAGAUUUAAGUAAAUAUAUAUAAUGAAAAAGAGGUAUUUUAGAAUACCUCUAUUUUAAAGCAGAGACAGAUACAUUGCUAGCUUCUGUUACCAACGCUUAUCGAAAGCAGGACUCGAUGACAAGGUGAAAUAAUUAUUCGGAAGUGCCAAUGCCACUAAGACACGAGAGUUGGCAGUGAUUUCAGUCACUUACUUCACAUUUAUACACACAGACCCCAAUAUCUGUGCUUCCAAUAAUUCAAAUUCAACAUAUAUGUUUGAUUUAUUUUUGUUCCUAGUUUACUACAUUGUUACGUAAUAUCUCAAUUUUGAUUUUCAAUCUCAAGUGCUGUGACUAAAGCAAUUCCUUAUAAACCUAACAAAAUAAGACAAAGAUUGAACAAAACUUUUCUCAAUAAAUAGUUUUGUUUACUAUAUACUCGCAUAUAAUUGGAAAACAUCAAAUAAGUUAAUUAAUAAGUGAUCCCAAUGAAAUUAAAUUUUGGCAAGUUUAUUUAUCAAAAAUAAAAAUAUUAUUUUUAAUGCUUGGAAAGUAACUUCAUUUGCCUAGUUAUCAAAUAAGUUUAUAUGGUAGCCAUAAGUGGUCUCAAAUGAAUUUAAUUAAGUUUAUGUCUUAAAGAAAACAUAGGUUUGUAUACCUCUCUUCAAUUAAGUUUAUGUCUUAAAUUAAAAUGGCUUCUAUUUGUUAAACGUCAAGUCUGAAAAUUUUAUUAAUUUCAUACUUUUUUCAAAAUUUUCUUGUUUAUUUUUUUUAACCGAAGAAAAAGUAAAUUUUUGUGAUUUUUUAUCAAAAUAGAAAACAAAUCUAUAUUAAGUAUACUAAUUUAUUAAAUUAUAAAACCUAAUCUCUCUCUCUCUCUCUCUCGAUUUAUAAGAAUAUAAAUAUCAAAAAUUGUAUUUAAGAUUUUUUUAUUCACAAAAACAAACAAGACACCGCAUAUAUUGAGACAUUUAAAAAAAAUGUCAUUUGGACAUUUAUAUUUAGACUUUAGAAAAAUUUAGACCCAUUCAAAUUGUAGACAAAAGAAUAAACGGCACCUUAAUGGUAUAAAUUAUUACUUUUAAUUUUUUAAUAUAAUAUUAUUUUUUCCGAUCAUAUUCAAAUAGUGAGGGUCCAUUUGGAAUUGCUUUUGGAAGGUUUAAAAGUCUUUUUGAAAAGCUAAAAGUUAAUUUUGAUGUUUGAUAAAUUAAAAAAAAAAAAUUGGCAAACUACCAUAUUCUAUAGCAUAUUUUGAAAAAGUAGGAAAUGAGUUCAUUUUCAAAAUCUGAUUUUAAAUCAUUUUUAUACUUAAUAUAAUUUUCUAUAUAUCAUCACAAUAUUCUAAAAAUCCAAAAAUUAUCCUUACUGAUUAGGAUAAAUCGUUAAAAUUAAAGGGAUUAUUAUUAUUGACAAUUACACUGAGAUAACAAAAUAAAAAUCAAAUUAAUCAUAUAGAAAUAUUUAUUUUAGUUAUCAAUUAUUAUAUAUACAACAAAAAUAUUUUAUAUACAUGUUUAUAAAUAUAUAAAUAAAUUUUAUUUGACAACAAUUUAUAUUCUUACAGCAAUUUAAUAGAAAAAUUUACUAAAUAUAUACGAUUACUCUCAAAACCCAAGGUACUUUUAAAAUAAAUAUUACUAAACAUUUAAUUGAUUUUUUCUCAACUUAUUAUUUCUACAACACAAUUAACAAUAAUUAUUAACAAAGUUAUAGUAUUAUCAAACUGGCUCUAAGAUUGUUGUAUUUUUUUUUUCUUUUUGAAACGAUAUAAUUCCUUCAUAAGAUCUCAAAUUUCUUCAAUCUCUAGUGAUGUGAUUAAAGUAUAUUCUUAUAAAUACCCACCAAAAUUCUCCAACGCAGGAAAAAUGAUGUUUAUAUUCUCAAAAUUUGUCAUAAUAAAAAUGUCAUUACACUUAACAUUUUAUGAAUAGAUACACAAAUUCCAUUUCAUCUUGGAUCACUAAGAUCAACUCCGUAUGUGUGGUUUUAUUAUUGCUUAUUUCAUUAUGUAAAUCUCAUCAUUGUAUAGACGACAAAAAAAGAAAAAAAGAAAAGUAAAAAAAGAUUAUGACUAAAUGUUUGAUAACCUCAAACAAAAGAAAGUAGGCUUAUAUAUAAUAAGAUGUUUGUACUUUUCAAAUCUCUUAUUAAUAAGAAAUCAAUAGAAAAUAAACUUUUUGCAUUUGUGGCAAAAAGAAGGUACUUUGUAAUACCUCUUUUUGUGGAAGAAUAUAUAUAUGCAUAUAUAUGGUUCCCGUACGUUGCUUCCAGUUUGGUACCAGCUCUCCUCGAACUCGCGAUUAGUGACACGCAGAACCUGAAGCCACCAAACCAGCAAGAUCGCGAUGAGAGCCGGUGGCAAAAUGUCUCAUAUUUUUUCUUUUGUUCUGUAAUAUCUGUUAUAUUUUGACUUCUAACUUCUGAAUUAAAAAUAAAUGAUGAAAUGAAACCAAUGCUUUUUUCAUAUAUUAUUUGAAAAAGAAUUUUAAAAAAAAUUGCAUUUAAAACAAGUUAAUUUUUAAAGAGUGAUGUUGUAUUACUAAUAAAAUCUCACCAUUUGAAUAAAAUAUUAUAAGACUUAAUAAUUAAUUAUCAUUUGAACCAAUCAAAUAAUAACGUAUCAUUUGUCACAUUACUAAAAUAUAAAUUAAAGAUCCCAAUUAAGUAUACAUAACAUUAUUGAUUUUCGAAUGGCUCAUUAAUUGAAGUUGUAUAUGAUGAAGAUGGAUCAUAAGUUCAUAACGGAGUUGAACUAAAUGUAGCUACCAACCUUCUCGAACAUAAGACCAAGUUAGAUGGUUCUUGAAGCACCAAAACACUGAGUUCUAAGAGGUUUGGUGAUAUCAACAGUCAACACACCUUUUUUUUUUUUCAAAUAGUUAAAGCAACAAUCGUUUGAUGGAAGAAUAAAACCGUCUGAUGAAAUGCCAAAAUGAAGUGUCUCUUGGCGAGUAUUUAAAUUUAGGAGCUAAACAGUCACCAGCGAGCAUUCAACAAGAUAGUUCCUGAUGCUUCUAGAAGGAUGAAAUGUGUUAUGAUUUAAGAAGAUUAAUGGUCAAGAUUGGAAUAAAAAAAUUGAGGUCUGGAUUGAACAGUUAAUAAAACUGAAGUAUAUAAUCAACCCCAUUACUUUUGUAUCAGUAUUAUUCACCCUAAAAUCUCAACCCUUGCAUUAACAGCAAAGGAUGAAAUACAAAUUUAUGUGCAUUACUCUCUUUGAUCUUGUAGUUUUGGGCAAUAGGCAUAUAUAUUCAGUAAAUUUAUCACUGUAUAGACAGUGCACAGAGGAAAAAAGAAGAAACAAAAUGCAUUUAAAACCUUCGUUUACGUUCUUGUUCCACUAACCGCUUUCCUAGGAGCUUCAGGAUCAAUGGUUUGAAUACAAUCCUCAGAAGUCAUAUAAUUUCUCAUUCAUUUGACCAAACUCAUGCAUUUCCUCAUUAAGCUGUAUAAAUCACACUUGUAAAUAUCCCCUCAGGUGACACUCCUGGUCUAUGGAUUCCGCAGUCCCGGCAACAUUCAAAGCAUUGAUAUGUGUAUGAGCAGCAGGCAUUGCCUCUACAAGCCCAAAAUCUGUAAUCCUGGAAUCAAUAUCAUCAUCAGAAUCCCGUUUGCCUGCUUGAUAUCCCGCGGGAUAAUAGGUGGGCUAUGCCGCAUAUGAAUCAGCUUUUAUUCUGUUCCGAGGCAAUCACUUAAAAUGACUUAGCAAAAUUUCCAUUGCACUCAGGCUGAUCCAGGUGAGCCUUAGAAAAAAAAAUAAGGAUUUGUGUUAUUGUUACAUUUAUUAAUGUCCUUGGCAUGUGCAAAUGCGACCAUAUACUCUCAUAUUUGUGACAGUAAUUAAUACUCUUUCACAUAAUGCAAGCCAACUGGAAAUUUCUUCAAUCUCAACUGAUGUGAAUAAAGCAUAACCAUGCAAAAAUAAAAAAACCUUUUUAAUUCUAAAUUGGCAAAAGAUAUCUGUAUCCUUUCAAAGUUGCUCUUAAUGUACAAGUCGUUACAUUUAAUAUUUUAUAAAUGGAUGCAUAGACUUCUUUUUCAACUUAGAUCAUUAAGAUCACCAUUAUAUGCGUGGCUUUAUUACUAUUAUUUUUUUAUAAGAUAUGCGUGGCUUUAUUAUUACUGCUUUUGUAAUAUAAAUCUCACUAUUACAUAUCUCAAAAAAAAAAAAAAAAACCCCUGUUCUACGUUCGAUAUGGUUCGAUGUCCUUAAACAAAUAAAAAGGAUUAAUAAAAGAAGGUCUGUGCACACAUUUUAAUAACUUUUUUGCAUUUUAAUGGCAAGGCAAGGGUAUACGCACCCUGUUCAUUACUUCUAGUUUGAUGAUACUAGCUCUCCUCGAACUCAUGGUUGGUGACAUGAUGAACAUGUAGGCACCAUACCAACAAGAUCAUGAUGAGAGCCGGUAAUUAAUUGUGUUUUAUUUUAUUCUUUGUUCUGUAAAAUUUAUUAGUUUAUUUUUCCAUUAUGUUAAAAGGUCAUUCACACAUAUUUUCUUCAUAACAGUGUAAACAUAAUUCUUAGUUGUGCAAUUAAUAAUGACACACAAUGAGCAUUUAAUUUAAGUAUCUAUCGCUACUUUUCACAUGUUGCACAUCAACUUUAUUUCACUUUAAAUUAUAUCAAAUAGAAUUAUUAUUUUACCUUCGAAACCUAGAUCAACAAUUAGGAAAUUAACGACAUAUAAAUAAAAUUGAGUAAUUAUACCUCAAAUUUUAAGAUUAACUAAAAGAGUAUUACCUCCUACUGUACAAAUGAAGCGAAAAGAAAAUGACAUGAUGUGCAACAUAAUGAAUUCAUCUAAUAUAUUUUGAAUUGGGAGAUUUUAGCUAAGAAGAAAUGAUGAAAUCCUAUACUUGUGGUCCUGUUUUCUCAUAUAUUACUUGAAAAAUAAUACAGGAACUUUUGUGACAAAAAGAAGGUAUUUUCGAAUACCUCAUUUAAAUUGGAACGUUGGAUAUGAUGAUGAUGGGGGGGAUCAUAUUGGAGUGGGACUGAAUUUGGCUACCAAUCUUCUCGAACCUAAGACCAAGUUGUAAGGUGCUCCAAGCACCAUACCACCAAGUUCAUAAGAAGAUUGGUGAUGCUGGCAUACAUCUUUUUUUCUUUUCUUUUGCCUGCACAACUCAUGUUAGUGGAACCAAAAAUCAGCUUGACAUUACCAUGUGACACAAAAAAUUGGAAAAAAAAAAAAAAAAACACUUUCAACAACAUUUCAUCUAUGUACAGUCAUUAAAAAAAAAAAAAAAAACAUGCAUACUUUCAUAUAUAACAUAUACAGAACACUCGAAAGAUGUGUGAUAGAGAUACUGUAUACUAUUGUUGUUGUGGCUUAUUUAUUUUCAGUACGUGCAAAAUUACGUUCAUGAAUAAUAAUAUUGGGGAAGUAACAAUUAUGGAGACAUUUUUACAUUUUUUUACAUAAUUAAAUUAUAUAAAUAGUUAAAAUUUUGAGAAAAAGUAAAUGUUGGAUUCGACAUAGCAUCAUCGAUUGUAAAUGUAUACAUUAAUAAAGAAAAAUUGUUAUUCUAGCAUUUGAAACGUAUAAUAGUUGAUGCUAAAAAUUACUAAAAUAAGAAAGAUAAUACUUACGUCACAAAAAAAAAAUCUAAAAUAAAGAAAUACAUAUUUGACGAAGACCUAAAUAAUGGCUAAAAUCUGAUAGUUCUCCUGAUAAAAUACAAGUUUUUUUAGAUUUUGUUGCAAGCUUUGAAUUAUAAAUUUGAAAAAUAAAUUAAGGCAAAUAAUGUGAUGCAUUAUUGAAAAAAGGGAGAAAACAUUUUUCAUCCCUGGGCUUUGUUUGAAAAAUAAAGGCAAAUAAUGUAAUGCAUUAUAAAAAUGGAAAAAACCUUUUUCAUUCAUGGGCUUUGAUAAUAUAAUUCUUUUUUUUUUUUCAAACAAUAGCCCAUUUCAUUCUUAUUAUCUAAGUAAUAAGCUAAAAUGUCUUUCCGUGAAUUUACAAUUAAUUUACUUUAUAAUUUAUUGAAGGAAAAAUAGGAUUUUCAAUUAAAUAAAUGCAAACCAUUUAAAAUAAAAAUGUCAAAAACAAUUAAAUAACAUUUGACUUUUUGCAUAAAUUUAAAAUUUAAGAAUCACUUAAUGAAACAAAAAUAUCACUAAAGAAUAUGCAACAUAUAAUAAUCAAAUACAAUCUAAUGCAAUGUAUUUAAUUUUGUAGUAUUUUUAAAUAUAUGCUUUAGAUCUUUAAUUUUUUUUAAAAAAAUAAAUUAGGGGUGAUCGCAAAUCGGAUUUUACGGAUUGGACAUCAAUCCAUAUCCAAUCUAUGAUUUUACGGAUUGGUUUGCAGACUGAAAAUUUUUAAUUAUGUCCAAUCCAUAAACUAACUAAAUAAAAAAUUUAAUAUAAAAAUAAUUUUACUACCGAUCAAAUUUAUAUUUAAAUUUAAAUAAGAUUUAAAUAAAUUAAUUGUUUAAAUAAAGUUAGAAAAUACAUUUAAAGUUUCAAAAUAUAACACACCAAAACGAAAAAAAAAAUCUCAUUAAUUUAGAUCAGUACAUGGAAAUUAACUAUUUAAAAAGCUAUAUUUGUUUAUUUAGUUUUUUUUAUUUUAUAUUAUUAUUGGAUAAGAUAUAAUAUAGUGUUAAUGUAACUAUAUUUUAACUUAUUUAUUUACUAGUAAGUACUAAUAUCAUUUUUACAAGUUUUUUUAAUUAAAUAAAUACUUUUUAUUUUUUUGCGGAUUCGUGGAUUUUUUUGAAUUUACAGAAGUAGAUCCAUAUCCAAUCCAUCGAUUGCGGAUUAUCAAAUUUUCAAUCUAAUCCAAUCCACGAAUCGGAUUUUUAUGGAUCAGAUUUCUACGGAUAAUCCAAUCCACGAAUCGGAUUUUUAUGGAUCAGAUUUCUACGGAUCAGACGGAUUGAACAGAUCGGAUUGGAUUUUGAACACCCCUAAAAUAACUGAAGGAGUACAUAAUUUUUCUCUUUUCUCAACACUCUGCAAUUAUAUAAUUCCCUUCAUUGGACUGAAAUACAUUUUUUUGUGUAAAUCUAUAGAAAAGAGAAAAAAGAUUCAUUAAAUUAAAUUUUUUCUCGAGAAAGUUUGGUGAAAUGGAAGAACAGAGAGAUUUUGAAUUGGAGUAGUUUGUAAAAAAGAGAAAAAUGUAAUUGACAUUAAGAGACCAUCCGAGCAGAGUGUUUAUAUAGGAAAAAGAUAUGAACUGGCUAGAGAUGACAAUGGGCACCGCCUGCAGUGGGUUUGCCAUUACCAAACCCAAACCCAAACCCGCACAAAAUUUAAAUUACCAAACCCACCCGCAAACCGUAGCGGGUUUUAUUUUUUUUAAGAAAACCCACCCGCUGUGGGUUUUGACAAUUACCAAACCCGCAAUGGUAUCCGUCAAAUUUUUUACGGGUUUGUACAUUUAAAAUCACAAAUGUUCAAUAUAUAAAUUUACAAUAAUAACCUCAAAUUUCACAUAACAUACUCAAUUUUAAAUUUAACCAAUUAAAUAAAAAAUUAAAAUUUAAACAUCAAUCCAACACAAAUUAUUAAAUUUAAGUAUAAAAUACACAAAUCCACUAAAAAAAACCACAAACUGACAUCUAAAAAUAACAAUUACAUUUCAUAUUAUCAUUCAACACAAGCUUAAAGAGAAGAUCUCCAUUUCAUUCACCAUCAUUAGCACACCUAUCUAACAUGAUGCCUACGAUAAUGUUUAAAAUUAAAAUUUUCCAAAAAUAAUACUUUUCAAAUAUUAAUCCAAGAAUAAUACUUUUCAAAUAUUAAUCCAAAAAAAAUUUAUAAUAAUGAAAUAAUUCAUGCAUUAAGUUAAAGAAAAAUAGUCCAUACAAAAACACUUUGGUUAGUUGGCACUUUGCAUAAUUGCAUUAUUUUCUUUUUAUAUUUUUUAGAUUUAAAUAUUUUUUCAAUUAAAAUUAAAUUAAAAAUAUUUAAAAAAAUAUUACGGGUCUGGCGAAUAUCCAUACGGGUAUCCGUCGGAUAUUAGAUUAAUACCAAACCCACCCGCAUCCAAGUGCGGGUUUCAAUUUGUAAUACCAAACCCACCCGCAACCCGCAAAAUUAUCCGUAGCGGGCGGAUUUUGGUGGGUGGGUUUAGAUGAAUUUACGUGUUUGCGGUCACAAUUGCCAUCCCUAGAACUAGUCACCAGCUGUUGUUGUUCUCAAAAAUUAAAACCAUGCUAAAUGGAUUAUAAACCGUGUCAAAUUACUUUUAAAUUGAAGUUCCGUAUGAUACAAAAAGAAUGCCUGCAAUUGAAUGGGAAAGGCAAAAUUGUAAAAAAAAGGAGCUUUAGUUGGAUGUUUACUUAUUUGUCGCUUAGUCUUUGUUGUUUACUUGUUUUUAGGAAAAUAAUGAUGGAUUAAUUGAAGACAUGGACAACAGCAUGAUGGCACUUAGUUUCCUGUAAUGCUUAAUCUGGCAAUGAAUUGAUGAUAAAGAAUUUCUGAUUAUCAACAAGUUGAUGAUGAGCUUGUUUUGGAAAAGAUGCUUUGGUAUUUUGAAAUAAUGAACCAAAAAAAAAAGAAAAGAAAGAAAGGAUGUGAUGGUAUGGCAUGGAAAUUUGUUAUUUUUCCUUAUUAUUAUUAUUAUUAUUUUGGGAUAAAAGAGAGGUAUUUUAGAAUACCUCUAUUUCAAAGCAGAAGAUACAGAUUCUGUAAUUUUGUUUCGAUUGCUAUUGUAGCUUCUGGUACCGACGCUUCUCGAACACAGGCCUUGACGACAUGGAGAACAAGCAAGCACCAUGCCAUCAAGACCAUCACG
Molecule: long non-coding RNA, 31175 nt
Filed under: Citrus sinensis (sweet orange)
Lineage: Eukaryota; Viridiplantae; Streptophyta; Magnoliopsida; Sapindales; Rutaceae
Description: long non-coding RNA (CSIN_LNC000228)
Source: RNAcentral